Molecule: ribosomal RNA, 253 nt
Filed under: uncultured bacterium
Lineage: Bacteria
Description: partial 16S ribosomal RNA
Rfam family: Bacterial small subunit ribosomal RNA
Source: RNAcentral
UACGAAGGGGGCUAGCGUUGUUCGGAAUUACUGGGCGUAAAGCGCGCGUAGGCGGACUGACAAGUCGGGGGUGAAAUCCCGAGGCUCAACCUCGGAACUGCCUUCGAUACUGUCAGUCUUGAGGUCGGGAGAGGUGAGUGGAACUCCGAGUGUAGAGGUGAAAUUCGUAGAUAUUCGGAAGAACACCAGUGGCGAAGGCGGCUCACUGGCCCGAUUCUGACGCUGAGGCGCGAAAGCGUGGGGAGCGAACAGG